GGCAAGAUGGCCGAGCGGUCUAAGGCGAUGCUUUCAAGUUUUUCUUGACAAUGUAAACAUUGUUUGAAACAGCAUUAACGAAAGUUGCAUGGGUUCGAAUCCCAUUCUUGUCA
Non-coding RNA from Arachnomyces sp. PD_36, 113 nucleotides. Lineage: Eukaryota; Fungi; Ascomycota; Eurotiomycetes; Onygenales; Arachnomycetaceae. The record is from the annotation of a GenBank genome assembly.